Molecule: unclassified non-coding RNA, 245 nt
Filed under: plant metagenome
Description: partial contains small subunit ribosomal RNA, internal transcribed spacer 1, and 5.8S ribosomal RNA
Source: RNAcentral
UCUCCGUUGGUGAACCAGCGGAGGGAUCAUUACCGAGUUUACAACUCCCAAACCCAAUGUGAACGUUACCAAACUGUUGCCUCGGCGGGGUCACGCCCCGGGUGCGUCGCAGCCCCGGAACCAGGCGCCCGCCGGAGGAACCAACCAAACUCUUUCUGUAGUCCCCUCGCGGACGUUAUUUCUUACAGCUCUGAGCAAAAAUUCAAAAUGAAUCAAAACUUUCAACAACGGACCUCUUGGUUCUG